RNAcentral lists this ribosomal RNA (230 nucleotides) under uncultured Anaerolineaceae bacterium. Its description in RNAcentral is "partial 16S ribosomal RNA". It matches the Rfam family "Bacterial small subunit ribosomal RNA", at positions 1153 to 1382 of the family's 1533-position model. The record is from RNAcentral. Lineage: Bacteria; Bacillati; Chloroflexota; Anaerolineae; Anaerolineales; Anaerolineaceae.
CGACGUAAAGCCGGAGGAAGGUGAGGAUGAUGUCAAGUCAGCAUGACCUUUAUAUCCAGGGCUACACACACGCUACAAUGGUCUGUACAAUGGGUAGCCAAGCCGCGAGGCGGAGCCAAUCCUGAAAGCAGGCCUCAGUUCAGAUUGCAGUCUGCAACUCGACUGCAUGAAGCCGGAGUUGCUAGUAACCGCAGGUCAGCAAUACUGCGGUGAAUACGUUCCCGGGUCUU